This 1329-nucleotide long non-coding RNA is filed under the name Cicer arietinum (chickpea). RNAcentral describes it as "long non-coding RNA (CARI_LNC003629)". Lineage: Eukaryota; Viridiplantae; Streptophyta; Magnoliopsida; Fabales; Fabaceae. The record is from RNAcentral.
UAAUUGUUAGAGCUCUGAUAACCCUUAUUUUUUUCUCUAGCUGUGCGUUUUGAACCUUGCCUACUCCAUUGGAACUGUGGUGAGUAUGUCUUUCUUCAAAUAUUGAAUUUAUAGUUGUUGAUGUCAUUGUGUGUUUUUCCAGAUAACUGUUCAUCAUUUACAUUUUGAAUUUAAUCGUUAAAGUCCCUCUUUCUAACUGUAUUUCAGAUCAAUAAUCUGUUCCUUUUCUUAUUUAUCACAUAUAAUCAUUAUUCAUGAUGUUUUGAACUCAUAGGAAGGUGCUGAUUAAUUUGAGAUCAAAGUUAUUAGGCCCUUUCUUACUAAGAAUUAAAUCAGAUUUUAUUUCAAGUUAAUCAUUUUCCCAAGACUUGCUAAUAAGUAAAAAGGAUAUAUCUAAGAUUGUGAGUUUUAGUAACGUUUCCCCUGCAAAAAAUCAAACUAUCAUCAGCAUACAAGAGAUGUGUGAUUCCUGGAAAAUGAUAAAAACAAAUAAGGAGAGAUGGUCUUACUAUGUGAACCCUCUUUUAGGUUGAAACUUUUGGGAAGGCUUCCAUUAAUAAGAAUUGAGAAGGAAACUGUAGACCCACAUCGCAUAAUAGAAUUGAUGAUAUUGCUAGGAAACCCACAUAAUUGAGAGUUUUAUGGAGAAUAUUCCAUUCAAUCGUAGUGUAAGCCUUGACCAUGUCCGUUUUAAUCCUACAAGACCUUUUUCUUAUUGUUAUUGUUCUUCAUAUAGAUAAAACUCUCAUAAGCAACUGAAGCAUUGUGUAUAUAAAGAUACCUGACACAAAAGCACUUUGAUUAUAGCUAAUAAUAUCAAGAAGAAUGGUCUUAAUUCUAUUAGCUAUAGUCUUUGUGACAAUUUUUGAUAUAACAUUACACAGAUUACAGAGAAAUAGGCUUAUAGGCUUUUUUAUUAUAGGAAUGAGAUAGAUAAAUGUUUUGUUCAAGCAUGUGGAAUCAUCGUUAUUGUUAAGGAUAUUAAGAGCGAGAUUAGUGAUAUCGUUACAACUGAUCUCCCAAAAGAUAUGAUAAAAAGGCUUCAUUCUGGGUAAACUCAGCUUGAAAGAUAGUCAUCGUGAUUGUAUUCUUAACGACAUCCGCUGUAGCUUCCUCAUUAUGAAUAGGCUGCGUUGCAUCAAUGAUCACUUUGAUUUUCACAAUGAUAUUCUUACCAGAGUAUUCGUACAGCUCUGAUUCUCCAACCUUACCAAGAAACUCACCAACCUUUAUCCCCAUUCAUUUAUUGCUACAGUGAAGGGGGAGGCCCCAAAUUUGUAUCCAAAUUGGAACCUGAUUAAAUCCAAUGCUCUUUGGAUAAUGUAAUCA